AUUGAACGCUGGCGGCAUGCCUUACACAUGCAAGUCGAACGGCAGCACGGGUGCUUGCACCUGGUGGCGAGUGGCGAACGGGUGAGUAAUACAUCGGAACAUGUCCUGUAGUGGGGGAUAGCCCGGCGAAAGCCGGAUUAAUACCGCAUACGAUCUACGGAUGAAAGCGGGGGACCUUCGGGCCUCGCGCUAUAGGGUUGGCCGAUGGCUGAUUAGCUAGUUGGUGGGGUAAAGGCCUACCAAGGCGACGAUCAGUAGCUGGUCUGAGAGGACGACCAGCCACACUGGGACUGAGACACGGCCCAGACUCCUACGGGAGGCAGCAGUGGGGAAGUUUGGACAAUGGGCGAAAGCCUGAUCCAGCAAUGCCGCGUGUGGGAAGAAGGCCUUCGGGUUGUAAAGCACUUUUGUCCGGAAAGAAAGCCUUGGCCCUAAUACGGUCGGGGGGAUGACGGUACCGGAAGAAUAAGCACCGGCUAACUACGUG
RNAcentral lists this ribosomal RNA (487 nucleotides) under uncultured bacterium. RNAcentral describes it as "partial 16S ribosomal RNA". It matches the Rfam family "Bacterial small subunit ribosomal RNA", at positions 29 to 507 of the family's 1533-position model. The record is from RNAcentral.